Apodemus sylvaticus (European woodmouse) is the source of this 2965-nucleotide long non-coding RNA. RefSeq lists it as uncharacterized. The transcript has 3 exons. The record is from RefSeq and is a predicted model, not a curated record. Lineage: Eukaryota; Metazoa; Chordata; Mammalia; Rodentia; Muridae.
GAGCAGACCGAUUAGGAAGCAUCUUUUGCAAACACAGGGCUCUUGCUGAAACAACAUCACUGAAUAUGCCCUUUGAAAAGUGUUCUUGGCACCUGCCCUCAUGCCCCAAGUGUGGCUUUAGCUAGGCAGCUUGUGGCUUUGUCUCAGCUUUCAAAGGGAAGUGGCUCUUCUAGGUUACAAGAACUCUUCAGCCUCUACAGAGACUUCAAGACAGCUUUUGUCACGCUCUUUGAAGAAUGCUGUAAGGAUUUUCCUGGGCUUUGUGCUGAGUUUGUCAAUGGUGUUCAGUAAUGUGGCCAUCCUCACAGAUAACCAUGGUUUGAGUGAUCGCACUGCAUAAAAGGCCUAUGAGCUUCAUCUGAAAGAAAGAAAGUGACCGAAAUCAGCAACAACUUGGUGGCCUGCAUUUGCUUUGAGAGGCUACUCGGAGGAAAAGAGAUAACGGGGAAAUCCGAAGCUGGCUUGGCAGUUCAGAUCUGAAAGCCGGGCUCUGGGCCGCUAGUCCAAGAGGAUUGCUGCCUGUGAGUGGAAUAGUGGCAGUCACAAAGGAAGCUGUUUACCAAGGGAGGCUGCCAAGGAGGACAUGCCAAGCACCAUCUUCCCCCAUCUGAGGUCAGGACUAAUUUUUUCAAGUCACAGGAAGAUUGCAGCUGGGUAUAGUGGUGAACAGAGCAACUUCUAGGCCAGCCUCCGCUUCGCUGUAUGAGACCUGCCUUUCAAAGCAAAACAGAGGACUGGGGAGACGGCUCAGUGAUGAAGCUCUUCCAGAGGACUUGAGUUCAUUUCCUAGCACCCACAUGAGGGGGCUCAUAAUCCUCGGUAAUUCCAGCUCCAGGCAGAUCCUAUGCCUCUGACAUAGAGCCUCAAAUAGAGACAUGAUUUAUGCAUGAUUAAAAAAAUAAAAAUUUAAACCAAAACCAAACAAAAGAUGAAAGGAACAGACACAGUAAGACAUUGCCUGAAAAAGAUAAAAUUGCAUAGAAGCCACCCUCAAACUCACUGUGAAUGAAACAAGAGUGCUGUUAAUGAAGCAACACACAUUCAGGACAUUUCCCAACAUGCCUUAGUCUCAGUUAAAGCCACAUCCGUUUCUAAACGGGAGGCAGUACCCCACAGUGACUCUGCACUAACCUCAGGGAGAAGGGGGUUCUGCUUUACUCUUUCGGGGCUACUGUGGACCACACUGUUGAUGGAACACGCUGCAGCAUCUCCAGGGUUUUCCUGGUGCACCUCAACUAGGUUUCCUUCUUUUUAAAACUUUGUAUAUUUCGAUGCCCUGGUUUGGGAUGUCACUCUGAUGACAGAGUACUUGUCUAGCAGGCAUGAAGUCCUGCAUCCCCAGAACAGAGGUGGUAAUACAUAUAUUGCUAGUAUUCUGUCUAAGCUCCACCCUACACUUAACUGGCAACUGCCAGGUAUGCCCAGCCCCAUAGACCUGGCCCACUAUAAAAGGGGCUACUUGCCCCUCCUCACUCACUCUCACCUCUCUGCCCCUCUUGGGCUCUCCCCUCCCCCCUCUAUCCACGUGGUCAUGGCCAGCCUCCACUUCCCUAUUCUCUCUCUCUCUCUCUCUCUCUCUCUCUCUCUCUCUCUCUCUCUGCCUCUCUAACUCCCUUCCUCUGCCCUGAAUAAACUCUAUUCUAUACCAUGUCUGUGUGCGUGUGGUCCUCAGGGGGAAGAGGUACCUGGGCAUGGGCCCGCUUAACCCCUCUCUCUCUUUUUAUGCCCACUUGGUUAAACAAACCCAGAAGGAUCAAAAGUCACAAGUGUCCUCAGUUACAUAGGCAUCUCUUUCUAUCUACAUUUUUGCAAAGAGAUAGAUAAUACUCUGGAGGCAUAGUAAAACCCUGCGUGGUAGCCAUUAGCAAAGAAGAACAUGAUUCUCAUUCUGAGAGAUUAGAGUUAGCUCUAUGAAGGACAGGGGAAGGACCAAAAAAAUCAAACAUGCAUACUGCAGACACUGAAGAUUUUGUUCUGUUUUGGUUUCUGUGUGUCUCCCUGUGUAGCCCCAGAGGGUCCGGAACUCACCGUAUCGAAAAGGUUGGUCAUGAACUAGUAUCCAUCCUUCUGCUUCUGCCCUCACAAGUUUUAUAUAAGUCAGGCAUAUCACGAUAGGGAUGAGAAAAGUCUCCUUUAAAAGAAACAAAAUUGUGUGCGCAUGUGGGCAUGCACAUGGGUGUGGAGUCAAAGGACAAUUUAUAGGAGUUGGUUUUCUCUUUUCCACCGUAUGGCCCUGAGGAUUGAACUCAGAUCUGGUUUGCUGGUGGAUGCUCUUAUCUGCUAAGCAAUCCCAUCCAUCAGUCCUAUAAGGCCCCCUUUUAAAUGCCAAAUAAGUGGGUAGUUGCAUGCAAUUGUGCAAAGGUCCAGAUAUUCAUGGAAGACAGUGGGCCGAGGGGUGGACACAGGGUAAGAGGUGGGAGAAAGGGUGUACACAUGGCAUUAGGGCCAAAUAGCUUCUCCAGGCAAGGACUUAAGUUAAUAAACCCUGUUAUAUGGUAGAAAACAUCCCAAAACAAAUAAGAGGCACCCAGCUGGCCGAAGAUAAAAUAUUCAGAAAAUAUUUUUACAGAGUUCAAUAUUUUAGAAGCCCCACUAUCUUGAUCAAGCGAUAUCUUCAAACAUCCAAGGAGAGAGGCCAAGACAAACACACCCAAAAGUCGCUAAAUAAGGAGUAAAGCAAGCCACUGAAGAACCACAGCCAACCUGCAUUUAACCCGGUGCCAACACAGUUGAGGCAGACAGUUCCUCAAUGCUGCUGCUCUUCUGAGGGAACAUUCCUCAGUCAGCAGGCCCAGGGCAGGAGGGAGCUGCGGAAACCUAGCAGACACAGAGACAACCUAAACUGGGCUUGAGCUUCAUGUAUCCUGUGCUUUUUUUUUUUUUUUCAGCUGCUAUUUUAAAAACUAAACAUUACAUUUGUGGUGGAAUUCUUUCCAGGUUCAAGAAAAGAAAACAAUAUGGUUAA